ACAAGUACCCUGCCCUGCAGCACAUUGCACAUACCUACUUCUGCCCACGGCUGGCUCUCUCCUUGCCCUGAGGGGAUGCCUGAGGAUGAAUUCUCUGCUGUGGCCUCUGGAACUGCUUUCUGCAGGAACUGGGACCCCGACUGCUCACUGGGACAGCUGGUUGAGGCUUCAGUCACCACUGUAACACAGAGCACAAAACCUGUCCGUUUUAGGCGACAACACCGAUCUACUUAGUGUCCUUCUCACAGCCAAGCAGGAGGAGAGUUCAUGGAGAGGAAUUCAGGGCGGAAAACAAAGUGAACCAUUGGAAACUGCUUUCAGACUGCAGAUUCCAACCAGAUUUGUGUCAUGACUUCAGCCAGGGCAUUCUUCACCCACGUGGGACAAUGUCAGGAGCCUCAGUGACAUUGAGGCAGGGUCGGGAAUGUUCUUGGUGAUAAGCAGACACAUGAGAAUGCUCUGAGGAGAGGGGUGCAAGGCAGUGCAGAUUUACAACACUGAGACCCUUCAGAGCAGCACUAAUGCCCAGUGGAGUUCUCUAGCCUAAAUGUCUCGUUGUCAGUGGAAGAAACAAAGGUAAUGUAAUUUGAAUGCUGGAUGCAACAGCGUAGGCUGCUCUCCAGGCUGAUUCUCCCUGCUCCAAAUGGGAAUGAUGGCUCCAAACAGACUCACCAGCACAGACUGAAGAGCAGACAUCUGAUUUGGGAGGAAAUGGCCAAUAUCUCAGCUUUUUUCCCCACGAUUUGUUUCUUCCUGGAAAGGAAAAAAAAAAAAGCCACAAAACA
Molecule: long non-coding RNA, 785 nt
Organism: Chiroxiphia lanceolata (lance-tailed manakin)
Lineage: Eukaryota; Metazoa; Chordata; Aves; Passeriformes; Pipridae
Exons: 4
Source: RefSeq, a predicted model, not a curated record